RNAcentral lists this ribosomal RNA (364 nucleotides) under Lophoxanthus lamellipes. RNAcentral's name for it is "partial 12S ribosomal RNA". The record is from RNAcentral. Lineage: Eukaryota; Metazoa; Arthropoda; Malacostraca; Decapoda; Panopeidae.
UAUUAUACCAGUAUGUAUAAGCUGUUCCAGAAUAUUAAUAGAUAUAUCCUUUAAAUUUAAAGAAUUUGGCGGUAGUUUAGUCUUGUUAGAGGAACCUGUUUUUAAAUCGAUACACCACGUAAAAUUUCACUCACUUUAUUCAGCUUAUAUACCGUCAUUAUCAGAUAAUUUUUAAAAAAUCAAUUAUUAAGAUUUAAAAGGGAAGAUUAAGUUAAAUUAGAUCAAGGUGUAGCCUAUAAGUGAGUUAAAAUGGGUUACAAUAAAAUUUAUUUAAACGGAAUAGUUACAAUAAAUUGUACUAUAGAAGGAGGAUUUAAUUGUAAUGCAAGUUUAAUAAGCUAUAAAGAUAUAAGCUCUAAACUAU